This 635-nucleotide ribosomal RNA is filed under the name uncultured bacterium. Its description in RNAcentral is "bacterial SSU rRNA". It matches the Rfam family "Bacterial small subunit ribosomal RNA", at positions 76 to 705 of the family's 1533-position model. The record is from RNAcentral.
GGAGCAAUCCUGGUGGCGAGUGGCGAACGGGUGAGUAAUAUAUCGGAACGUGCCCAGUCGUGGGGGAUAACGCAGCGAAAGCUGUGCUAAUACCGCAUACGAUCUAUGGAUGAAAGCGGGGGACUCGUAAGGGCCUCGCGCGAUUGGAGCGGCCGAUAUCAGAUUAGCUAGUUGGUGGGGUAAAAGCCCACCAAGGCGACGAUCUGUAGCUGGUCUGAGAGGACGACCAGCCACACUGGAACUGAGACACGGUCCAGACUCCUACGGGAGGCAGCAGUGGGGAAUUUUGGACAAUGGGCGCAAGCCUGAUCCAGCAAUGCCGCGUGCAGGAUGAAGGCCUUCGGGUUGUAAACUGCUUUUGUACGGAACGAAACGGUGAGCUCUAAUAAAGUUUGCUAAUGACGGUACCGUAAGAACAAGCACCGGCUAACUACGUGCCAGCAGCCGCGGUAAUACGUAGGGUGCAAGCGUUAAUCGGAAUUACUGGGCGUAAAGCGUGCGCAGGCGGUGAUGUAAGACAGAUGUGAAAUCCCCGGGCUCAACCUGGGACCUGCAUUUGUGACUGCAUCGCUAGAGUACGGUAGAGGGGGAUGGAAUUCCGCGUGUAGCAGUGAAAUGCGUAGAUAUGCGGAGGA